UUCGGGGAGCCUAUACAGGUUGUUGCAUGGCUGUCGUCAGCUCGUGUCGUGAGAUGUUCGGUUAAGUCCGCUAACGAGCGCAACCCUCGUCGUAUGUUAUAUGUGUCAUACGAGACUGCCGGUAAAAGCCGGAGGAAGGUGAGGAUGAUGUCAAGUCAGCAUGACCUUUAUAUCCAGGGCUACACACACGCUACAAUGGUCUGUACAAUGGGUAGCCAAGCCGCGAGGCGGAGCCAAUCCUGAAAGCAGGCCUCAGUUCAGAUUGCAGUCUGCAACUCGACUGCAUGAAGCCGGAGUUGCUAGUAACCGCAGGUCAGCAAUACUGCGGUGAAUACGUUCCCGGGCCUU
Molecule: ribosomal RNA, 348 nt
Filed under: uncultured Anaerolineaceae bacterium
Lineage: Bacteria; Bacillati; Chloroflexota; Anaerolineae; Anaerolineales; Anaerolineaceae
Description: bacterial SSU rRNA
Rfam family: Bacterial small subunit ribosomal RNA
Source: RNAcentral